AUUGAACGCUGGCGGAAUGCUUUACACAUGCAAGUCGAACGGCAGCACGGACUUCGGUCUGGUGGCGAGUGGCGAACGGGUGAGUAAUGUAUCGGAACGCGCCCAGUCGUGGGGGAUAACGUAGUGAAAAUUACGCUAAUACCGCAUACGAUCUAUGGAUGAAAGCGGGGGAUCGCAAGACCUCGCGCGAUUGGAGCGGCCGGUAUCAGAUUAGGUAGUUGGUGGGGUAAAGGCCCACCAAGCCAACGGUCUGUAGCUGGUCUGAGAGGACGCCCAGCCACACGGGAACUGAGACACGGUCCAGACUCCUACGGGAGGCAGCAGUGGGGAAGUUUGUACAAUGGGCGAAAGCCUGGUCCAGCCAUUCCGCGUGCAGGAUGAAGGCCCUCGGGUUGUAAACUGCUUUUGUGCAGAACGAAAAGGUUUCUACUAAUACUAGGAGCUCAUGACGGUACUGUAAGAAUAAGCACCGGCUAACUACGUGCCAGCAGCCGCCGUAA
Molecule: ribosomal RNA, 500 nt
Filed under: uncultured bacterium
Lineage: Bacteria
Description: partial 16S ribosomal RNA
Rfam family: Bacterial small subunit ribosomal RNA
Source: RNAcentral